This 468-nucleotide ribosomal RNA is filed under the name uncultured bacterium. RNAcentral's name for it is "partial 16S ribosomal RNA". It matches the Rfam family "Bacterial small subunit ribosomal RNA", at positions 28 to 507 of the family's 1533-position model. The record is from RNAcentral.
GACGAACGCUGGCGGCGUGCUUAACACAUGCAAGUCGAACGGCAAGGCCCUGCUUUCGUGCGCUUCUCGAGUGCCGAACGGGUGCGUAACACGUGAGUAUCCUGCCCUUCAUUUUGGGAUAACUUCAGGAAACUGGGGUUACUAUCGGAUCGGAUCCGCUGCUGGAUGGAGGGCGUUGGAACGUUUCGGCGGUCGGGGCUGGAUUGGCGGCUUACGAGCUUGCUGGUGGGGGAGUUGCUGACCAAGCCUUUGACCGGUAGGCCGCCUGUGAGGGUGGACGGCCACAUGACGACUGAGGGACGGCCCAGAGUCCUACGGGAGGCAGCAGUGGGGAGUAUUGCACAAUGGGCGGGAGCCUGAUGCAGCAGCGCCGCGUGCGGGAUGACGGUCUUCGGGUUGUGAACCGCUUUCGCCUGAGACGAAGCGGGAGUGACGGUACUGGAUAAAGAAGCACCGGCUAACUACGUG